RNAcentral lists this ribosomal RNA (504 nucleotides) under uncultured bacterium. RNAcentral's name for it is "partial 16S ribosomal RNA". It matches the Rfam family "Bacterial small subunit ribosomal RNA", at positions 30 to 523 of the family's 1533-position model. The record is from RNAcentral.
AUUGAACGCUGGCGGCAGGCCUAACACAUGCAAGUCGAACGGUAGCACAGAGAGCUUGCUCUUGGGUGACGAGUGGCGGACGGGUGAGUAAUGUCUGGGAAACUGCCCGAUGGAGGGGGAUAACUACUGGAAACGGUAGCUAAUACCGCAUAACGUCUUCGGACCAAAGUGGGGGACCUUCGGGCCUCACACCAUCGGAUGUGCCCAGAUGGGAUUAGCUAGUAGGUGGGGUAAUGGCUCACCUAGGCGACGAUCCCUAGCUGGUCUGAGAGGAUGACCAGCCACACUGGAACUGAGACACGGUCCAGACUCCUACGGGAGGCAGCAGUGGGGAAUAUUGCACAAUGGGCGCAAGCCUGAUGCAGCCAUGCCGCGUGUAUGAAGAAGGCCUUCGGGUUGUAAAGUACUUUCAGCGGGGAGGAAGGCGAUGUGGUUAAUAACCGCAUCGAUUGACGUUACCCGCAGAAGAAGCACCGGCUAACUCCGUGCCAGCCGCCGCCGUAA